Molecule: long non-coding RNA, 510 nt
Filed under: Brachypodium distachyon (stiff brome)
Lineage: Eukaryota; Viridiplantae; Streptophyta; Magnoliopsida; Poales; Poaceae
Description: long non-coding RNA (BDIS_LNC002113)
Source: RNAcentral
UCAGCGUCUGCGCGCGCGCGCACAAACCGGGCCGGCCGGUUCGGCGCGGGCGCGGUUGGGACUGGGCCGGUUCGGCCCAAAACGGCCGGGCCGGUCCGGGUUUCCCCUUUUUUUUUCCUUUUAGCCCUUUUCUUUUUCUGUUUUUCUUAUUUCUUUGAUACCUUUUGAUUUUGAACUCCAAAUUGGUCCAAAUAAAUUCCAAAAUUUUUGUAAAACCAUGUUCUAUCAUGAUACAACUUUUGGGAGUAGUUUUCCCUCAAAAUUAAAUAUCUAAAAAUACAUUUGCCCUAUAAAUGCCUUUAGGGCUAUAUAACUAUUUAAAUAAAAUAGUUUUUCAACUCCAAAAAUUAUGGGAUAGCUUAUAUAUGCAAUAAACCCCUUUUAUAAGUAAACCUUAUUGGUUUGAAGAUCCAAAGCUCAAAUGGGUGUAAACCCUUGGGUUUAAAUUGAAAUGAAAACUUUUAAAGCCUUUUGAGAUUUAAAUUUGAUUCAAACAAUGCAAUUAUGGCA